RNAcentral lists this unclassified non-coding RNA (200 nucleotides) under soil metagenome. Its description in RNAcentral is "partial contains internal transcribed spacer 2 and large subunit ribosomal RNA". The record is from RNAcentral.
CGUCAUUUGUACCCUCAAGCUCUGCUUGGUGUUGGGUGUUUGUCCCACUUUGCGUGUGGACUUGCCCUAAAGAAAUUGGCAGCCGGCAUAUUAGUUUGGAGCGCAGCACAAUUUGCGCUUUUAGCUAUACUUGUUGGCGUCCAACAGCCUAUACACUUGCUCUUGACCUCGGAUCAGGUAGGGAUACCCGCUGAACUUAA